UCCUUCUGUUAACCUUUGGGAGCUUCACCGCUCCCUUUGGGGCUCAGAUAUUUUACCUUGAGAAAAUUAGAGUGUUUCAGGCAGGCUAGCGCCGGAAUACAUUAGCAUGGAAUAAUGGAAUAGGACUUUUGCCUCUUCUGUUGGUCAUGGGGUUCGAGUAAUGAUUAAUAGGGAUAGUUGGGGGCAUUAGUACUUCACUGUCAGAGGUGAAAUUCUCGGAUUUGUGAAAGACUAACUUAUGCGAAAGCAUUUGCCAAGGAUGUUUUCAUUAAUCAAGAACGAAAGUUAGGGGAUCAAAGACGAUCAGAUACCGUCCUAGUCUUAACCAUAAACUAUGCCGACUCGGGAUCGGGGGCGAGAACUAUCCGCCUUCGGCACCGUAUGAGAAAUCAAAGUCUUUUGGGUUCUGGGGGGAGUAUGGUCGCAAGGCUGAAACUUAAAGGAAUUGACGGUAAGGCA
Molecule: ribosomal RNA, 459 nt
Filed under: uncultured eukaryote
Lineage: Eukaryota
Description: SSU rRNA
Rfam family: Eukaryotic small subunit ribosomal RNA
Source: RNAcentral